AAUGUUUAAAGAUCCCAGCGUUAUGUCACACAUAGCAAAUGUUAAGCUGUAUUCGGACAAAAUCGUGAGGUCAGCACAAAAUAGGGAAAAGCAAAAUGUGAGACACUUAACCAUCUUCCUGUUAAGAAGCGUAGACGGAGACAAGCGCGGGCGAGCGGAGAGAUGGCGUGUGACUGAACACAGGACGAGAAUCGAAUCGGGACAGAGCAGGUACGCUGUAUAUCAGGGAUAUAGGCAAAAGCGUUGUGAGAGACGAGCGUGAAGUCGAGCACCAGGGAAAACACUUAUAAUGAAAUCGGCUUGGUAAACAAACAGAGACGAGGCUGCUGAGCGGUUACUUCGCAAGCAGCUCAUGCUAGGGAGGCCCUUAUAUAACCUUAGGUGUUUACAGGUGUUCGUAAUUAGAACUCCGGCGAACUCGAGCGCGGGUAUGACUAGGAAGUGUUGUCCUCCUCCGCCACGUCCCUGGGCGGCACUACACUUUGUGAGCUGCCGCGCCGAUUUCGCCGUGUCGUAACACUUCCACUAUUUGCUCUCUAACUUUUAUCAGUUUUUUAAGACGAAACACUUCUUGGUCGGUGAAGGUUGGUUGGCCGGUGCGUUCUGUGUUGUUCAUAAACAGUCUAACAGAGUUAAGGAACAAUUUUAAAUCUGAAAAACUCAUCAACUUUAACUGAUCUCAUGCCUUUUGUCCUGUUUAAAAACGACUGAAUUCCAGUGAAGGAGUAAGCACCCUCCACCUCCAUCUGGGUCUAAGGAACCUGAGGUGGAGAAAUGUUCCAUUUGUUUAAGCAGCAUCACUGGCAUGCGUGGAGAAUGUGAGGCCAAAGAGCCUGCUGUCAGACCUGAGGAGUGCCCAGUGUCCAGGGGAGUGUGUAACAUAAGACAUAUACACACACAUUGUCCUUCUCUUCACUGCAUUUCUAUACCUC
Molecule: long non-coding RNA, 932 nt
Organism: Ictalurus furcatus (blue catfish)
Lineage: Eukaryota; Metazoa; Chordata; Actinopteri; Siluriformes; Ictaluridae
Exons: 3
Source: RefSeq, a predicted model, not a curated record